Molecule: long non-coding RNA, 2248 nt
Organism: Felis catus (domestic cat)
Lineage: Eukaryota; Metazoa; Chordata; Mammalia; Carnivora; Felidae
Exons: 2
Source: RefSeq, a predicted model, not a curated record
AAGCUCUGUGCUGUCAACACAGAGCCCAAUGCAGGGCAUGAUCCCAUGAACUAUGAGAUCAUGAUCUGAGCUGAAACCAAGAAUCAGACGCUUAUCUGACUGAGCCACCCAGGCACCCCUAAAACUUCUCUUACCAUGUAAGAUGGGUCAGCCUUCUCUGGGCACAAGCAAUACAGCAAAACCUGUCAAACACCCCUUCUUGAAGAUAGUGCUUGCUUAUUUUUCAAAGUUUCUAUUUAGAAAAAAAGAGAAGCCCCUCAGCCACAAAUGGAGUAGGUGAGUGGUGAUCAGGCCUCACUCAAGCCCUCAAUGCCUUCCCAGAGGAAAAUACUAGGAGCAACACACUUUUGGAUCAGUCAGCUGGGCCCCCAUAAAGCCAUGCAGCAGGAGUGAGGUCAGAUCAUGAAAAGGGACGCAGCUUCUACCUGGUUUGCUGGACUGCUCCAGCUUGGAGCCACAAGCUAUGUAGACCUGCCAUGUAAGAAGUCUAAUGGACCCUGAAACUGCCUUGCCAGAGAGGCACAGCCAUGUGAGUGAGCUAUCUUACACACCCAGCUGGGAGCCUUUAGGUGUCUGCAGCUCUGGCCAGCAUCUGAGUGUAACUACAUGGGACACCCAAAUUGACAACUACUCUGUCAACCCUUCCUGAAUUGAUGACCCACAAAUAGCAAAAAUCAAAUGGUUGUUUUAUGAUGCUAAGUUUUGGGGUAAUUUGUCAAGUGACAAUAUUACCCAGUAUGCUUAGGUACUGUGUUCUGUCAUUGAAAUAUUAGAAGAUUUUAUGUAAUCAGAAGGGAAUGUUUAAACAAAUGCUUUGACAAUAAGAUUUUUAAAGCAUUUAUUCAUCAAUACUAGGAGUGAGAGUAUCAUUAUCUAAGAGACUGGUUCUACUAUUUAGAUAGAAGUGAUCUUUGAAUUAAUCGAUGUGAAUCUUUUUUUCUCCCAAAACUCUUCUCAAUUUUAUAUUCAAGAUAUUCCCCAAAGUUUUAUUAUGAAAAUUCUCAAACCCAGAGAAGUUGAAAGACAAAGUACCAAGAAGUCUCAUAUAGAUGAUAGGACAAUUAAUAUUUGUCAUAUGACAAAUACAUAUAAUUUUCUGUACCAGUUGACAGAAAGUUGAUGAAUGAAUUUUAUUUUCAAAUAACCUUUUUUCCUGUUCAUAUGAGUAAUAUAUACUCAUAGUAUAGGUCUUGUAAAAUAUAGAAAAAUAAAUAGAAAAUAAUACACUCCUCCAAAAUAAACUCUUCUAGAUCUGAAAAGAAAAAAAGAAAAGAAAAGAAAAGAGAAGAAAAGAAAAGAAAAAGGAAAGAAAACGAAGUUUACCCGUAACUCAACUAACUUGAUUCUUGGUUUGUUGAGCAAGUUUCUUCUCCGAAUUUGGUCUUUCUUGGGCAGGGGUGCCCUCUACUGACAGCUGGGUGAAUUGUCAGACAGCUCCUUCCCAAAUGUCUCCAGAACCUCUUGCUAUGGAAUGUGUAACAGUACUGAGCUCUCUGCUCUUUUGGUCAUCCAGAGAACCAAGAUGUGAUGUCUAGAAGAGAUGUCUCUCACAGUGCUCUCCAUUUAAGCUAACCAGGACCUGCUGUCAUCUUCCCUCUGCUAAAUAACUUCCCUCUUAAGUAUCUGACCUCUGCCACUGACCACAAUGUCAUACCAGUUUUCAAUGGGUCCCAAGCAACUUCCCUGACCCAGUCCACACAGAGUUUUUUGAAUUCCAAAAUUGUGGAAAUAAAAAUGAGCCCGGUCUAGACAAGUCUCAGAUCCCUCAUUAAAAUUAAAUGUAGUCAUCUGAAUAUGCCUUUAAGAAGUGAAAAAAAGUCACAAGCUACAAAAUAACCAUUGUAAUAUAUAUUACUGUCAGGGAUUAAAACAAAGGAUAAAGAACUUUUACAGAGUCAGAAGUAUUCAAACAUAUUUUCCAGUCGAAAAAGGGCAAAAGACAUGACACAUGUAAUUCUGAAAAGAGGAAAAGUUUUUAGCCUGUAAAUAUAUGAAGUUAUCCCUAAUUACUUUAUUAAUCAGGGAAAACCAAAACCACUUUAAGGUAAUUUUUAUAGACAUUUCGUUGAUAAAAAUUGGUAUUUGGUGUGGGGACAGGACAGUGCAGAAUUUCAGGACAGGGUACAAUAUACAUAUGUAAAUUGUUAGAAAUAUGUAGUUCUUGUGUCAGUGUUCAUUAUAUUAUAGACAGAUAAACUAAUUCACACACAAAUAAAACAUGAUGUAGUACUCUAUUAUUAAAGAUGAA